Molecule: unclassified non-coding RNA, 209 nt
Filed under: Hevea brasiliensis (rubber tree)
Lineage: Eukaryota; Viridiplantae; Streptophyta; Magnoliopsida; Malpighiales; Euphorbiaceae
Rfam family: tRNA (bases 1-68)
Source: RNAcentral
UGUAGCUCAAAUGGUAGAGCGCUCGCUUUGCAUGCGAGAGGUACAGGGUUCGAUCCCCUGCAUCUCCAAUUUCUUAAUUUGCAACUCCUUUAUUGUUGUCAACAAUCGACACCCGUCAAACAAUAUGCACUUAAUUAAAAUGGGAUAGAAAUAAAUAUUACUUGAUACUUUGAAUUAAAAAGAAUACUUUGUAAUAUGCAAAAAAAAAA